AAAUUGAAGAGUUUGAUCAUGGCUCAGAUUGAACGCUGGCGGCAGGCCUAACACAUGCAAGUCGAACGGUAGCACAAAGGAGCUUGCUCCUUGGG
Molecule: ribosomal RNA, 95 nt
Filed under: Citrobacter freundii
Lineage: Bacteria; Pseudomonadati; Pseudomonadota; Gammaproteobacteria; Enterobacterales; Enterobacteriaceae
Description: partial 16S ribosomal RNA
Rfam family: Bacterial small subunit ribosomal RNA
Source: RNAcentral